Molecule: ribosomal RNA, 1414 nt
Filed under: Pediococcus pentosaceus
Lineage: Bacteria; Bacillati; Bacillota; Bacilli; Lactobacillales; Lactobacillaceae
Description: bacterial SSU rRNA
Rfam family: Bacterial small subunit ribosomal RNA
Source: RNAcentral
CGAACUUCCGUUAAUUGAUUAUGACGUACUUGUACUGAUUGAGAUUUUAACACGAAGUGAGUGGCGAACGGGUGAGUAACACGUGGGUAACCUGCCCAGAAGUAGGGGAUAACACCUGGAAACAGAUGCUAAUACCGUAUAACAGAGAAAACCGCAUGGUUUUCUUUUAAAAGAUGGCUCUGCUAUCACUUCUGGAUGGACCCGCGGCGUAUUAGCUAGUUGGUGAGGUAAAGGCUCACCAAGGCAGUGAUACGUAGCCGACCUGAGAGGGUAAUCGGCCACAUUGGGACUGAGACACGGCCCAGACUCCUACGGGAGGCAGCAGUAGGGAAUCUUCCACAAUGGACGCAAGUCUGAUGGAGCAACGCCGCGUGAGUGAAGAAGGGUUUCGGCUCGUAAAGCUCUGUUGUUAAAGAAGAACGUGGGUAAGAGUAACUGUUUACCCAGUGACGGUAUUUAACCAGAAAGCCACGGCUAACUACGUGCCAGCAGCCGCGGUAAUACGUAGGUGGCAAGCGUUAUCCGGAUUUAUUGGGCGUAAAGCGAGCGCAGGCGGUCUUUUAAGUCUAAUGUGAAAGCCUUCGGCUCAACCGAAGAAGUGCAUUGGAAACUGGGAGACUUGAGUGCAGAAGAGGACAGUGGAACUCCAUGUGUAGCGGUGAAAUGCGUAGAUAUAUGGAAGAACACCAGUGGCGAAGGCGGCUGUCUGGUCUGCAACUGACGCUGAGGCUCGAAAGCAUGGGUAGCGAACAGGAUUAGAUACCCUGGUAGUCCAUGCCGUAAACGAUGAUUACUAAGUGUUGGAGGGUUUCCGCCCUUCAGUGCUGCAGCUAACGCAUUAAGUAAUCCGCCUGGGGAGUACGACCGCAAGGUUGAAACUCAAAAGAAUUGACGGGGGCCCGCACAAGCGGUGGAGCAUGUGGUUUAAUUCGAAGCUACGCGAAGAACCUUACCAGGUCUUGACAUCUUCUGACAGUCUAAGAGAUUAGAGGUUCCCUUCGGGGACAGAAUGACAGGUGGUGCAUGGUUGUCGUCAGCUCGUGUCGUGAGAUGUUGGGUUAAGUCCCGCAACGAGCGCAACCCUUAUUACUAGUUGCCAGCAUUAAGUUGGGCACUCUAGUGAGACUGCCGGUGACAAACCGGAGGAAGGUGGGGACGACGUCAAAUCAUCAUGCCCCUUAUGACCUGGGCUACACACGUGCUACAAUGGAUGGUACAACGAGUCGCGAGACCGCGAGGUUAAGCUAAUCUCUUAAAACCAUUCUCAGUUCGGACUGUAGGCUGCAACUCGCCUACACGAAGUCGGAAUCGCUAGUAAUCGCGGAUCAGCAUGCCGCGGUGAAUACGUUCCCGGGCCUUGUACACACCGCCCGUCACACCAUGAGAGUUUGUAACACCCAAAGCCGGUGGGGUA